Molecule: ribosomal RNA, 45 nt
Filed under: uncultured fungus
Lineage: Eukaryota; Fungi
Description: partial 18S ribosomal RNA
Source: RNAcentral
GAUGCCAGAACCAAGAGAUCCGUUGUUGAAAGUUUUAACUAUUAU